CNUGCAGUCGAGCGGACAGAAGGGAGCUUGCUCCCGGAUGUUAGCGGCGGACGGGUGAGUAACACGUGGGUAACCUGCCUGUAAGACUGGGAUAACUCCGGGAAACCGGAGCUAAUACCGGAUAGUUCCUUGAACCGCAUGGUUCAAGGAUGAAAGACGGUUUCGGCUGUCACUUACAGAUGGACCCGCGGCGCAUUAGCUAGUUGGUGAGGUAACGGCUCACCAAGGCGACGAUGCGUAGCCGACCUGAGAGGGUGAUCGGCCACACUGGGACUGAGACACGGCCCAGACUCCUACGGGAGGCAGCAGUAGGGAAUCUUCCGCAAUGGACGAAAGUCUGACGGAGCAACGCCGCGUGAGUGAUGAAGGUUUUCGGAUCGUAAAGCUCUGUUGUUAGGGAAGAACAAGUGCAAGAGUAACUGCUUGCACCUUGACGGUACCUAACCAGAAAGCCACGGCUAACUACGUGCCAGCAGCCGCGGUAAUACGUAGGUGGCAAGCGUUGUCCGGAAUUAUUGGGCGUAAAGGGCUCGCAGGCGGUUUCUUAAGUCUGAUGUGANAGCCCCCGGCNCAACCGGGGAGGGUCAUUGGAAACUGGAAACUUGAGUGCANANGAGGAAUUGNAAUUUCCUUUGUAUCGGUCUAUAUUGUGUAUAAAA
RNAcentral lists this ribosomal RNA (659 nucleotides) under Bacillus pumilus. RNAcentral's name for it is "bacterial SSU rRNA". It matches the Rfam family "Bacterial small subunit ribosomal RNA", at positions 54 to 697 of the family's 1533-position model. The record is from RNAcentral. Lineage: Bacteria; Bacillati; Bacillota; Bacilli; Caryophanales; Bacillaceae.